GAGCGUUCUGUAAGCCUGUGAAGGUGUGUCGUGAGGCAUGCUGGAGGUAUCAGAAGUGCGAAUGCUGACAUAAGUAACGAUAAAGCGGGUGAAAAGCCCGCUCGCCGGAAGACCAAGGGUUCCUGUCCAACGUUAAUCGGGGCAGGGUGAGUCGACCCCUAAGGCGAGGCCGAAAGGCGUAGUCGAUGGGAAACGGGUUAAUAUUCCCGUACUUGGUGUUACUGCGAAGGGGGGACGGAGAAGGCUAUGUUGGCCGGGCGACGGUUGUCCCGGUUUAAGCGUGUAGGUGUGUGUUCCAGGUAAAUCCGGUUCACUUUAACACUGAGGCGUGACGACGAGGCACUACGGUGCUGAAGCAACAAAUGCCCUGCUUCCAGGAAAAGCCUCUAAGCAUCAGGUAACAUCAAAUCGUACCCCAAACCGACACAGGUGGUCAGGUAGAGAAUACCAAGGCGCUUGAGAGAACUCGGGUGAAGGAACUAGGCAAAAUGGUGCCGUAACUUCGGGAGAAGGCACGCUGACACGUAGGUGAAGUGAUUUACUCAUGGAGCUGAAGUCAGUCGAAGAUACCAGCUGGCUGCAACUGUUUAUUAAAAACACAGCACUGUGCAAACACGAAAGUGGACGUAUACGGUGUGACGCCUGCCCGGUGCCGGAAGGUUAAUUGAUGGGGUCAGCGCAAGCGAAGCUCCUGAUCGAAGCCCCGGUAAACGGCGGCCGUAACUAUAACGGUCCUAAGGUAGCGAAAUUCCUUGUCGGGUAAGUUCCGACCUGCACGAAUGGCGUAAUGAUGGCCAGGCUGUCUCCACCCGAGACUCAGUGAAAUUGAACUCGCUGUGAAGAUGCAGUGUACCCGCGGCAAGACGGAAAGACCCCGUGAACCUUUACUAUAGCUUGACACUGAACAUUGAGCCUUGAUGUGUAGGAUAGGUGGGAGGCUUUGAAGUGUGGACGCCAGUCUGCAUGGAGCCGACCUUGAAAUACCACCCUUUAAUGUUUGAUGUUCUAACGUGGACCCGUAAUCCGGGUUGCGGACAGUGUCUGGUGGGUAGUUUGACUGGGGCGGUCUCCUCCUAAAGAGUAACGGAGGAGCACGAAGGUUGGCUAAUCCUGGUCGGACAUCAGGAGGUUAGUGCAAUGGCAUAAGCCAGCUUGACUGCGAGCGUGACGGCGCGAGCAGGUGCGAAAG
RNAcentral lists this ribosomal RNA (1189 nucleotides) under Salmonella enterica. Its description in RNAcentral is "partial 23S ribosomal RNA". It matches the Rfam family "Bacterial large subunit ribosomal RNA", at positions 1234 to 2405 of the family's 2925-position model. RNAcentral also lists the same sequence under 1 other name. Lineage: Bacteria; Pseudomonadati; Pseudomonadota; Gammaproteobacteria; Enterobacterales; Enterobacteriaceae. The record is from RNAcentral.